GAUGAACGCUGGCGGCGUGCCUAAUACAUGCAAGUCGAGCGAACAGAUGAGGAGCUUGCUCCUCUGACGUUAGCGGCGGACGGGUGAGUAACACGUGUAUAACCUACCUAUAAGACUGGGAUAACUUCGGGAAACCGGAGCUAAUACCGGAUAAUAUAUUGAACCGCAUGGUUCAAUAGUGAAAUACGGUUUUGCUGUCACUUAUAGAUGGAUCCGCGCCGCAUUAGCUAGUUGGUAAGGUAACGGCUUACCAAGGCAACGAUGCGUAGCCGACCUGAGAGGGUGAUAGGCCACACUGGAACUGAGACACGGACCAGACUCCUACGGGAGGCAGCAGUAGGGAAUCUUCCGCAAUGGGCGAAAGCCUGACGGAGCAACGCCGCGUGAGUGAUGAAGGUCUUCGGAUCGUAAAACUCUGUUAUUAGGGAAGAACAAAUGUGUAAGUAAAUAUGCACGUAUUGACGGUACCUAAUAAGAAAGCCACGGCUAACUACGUG
RNAcentral lists this ribosomal RNA (497 nucleotides) under uncultured bacterium. Its description in RNAcentral is "partial 16S ribosomal RNA". It matches the Rfam family "Bacterial small subunit ribosomal RNA", at positions 28 to 507 of the family's 1533-position model. The record is from RNAcentral.